This is a long non-coding RNA of Salvia miltiorrhiza (redroot sage), 600 nucleotides long. RefSeq lists it as uncharacterized. Lineage: Eukaryota; Viridiplantae; Streptophyta; Magnoliopsida; Lamiales; Lamiaceae. The record is from RefSeq and is a predicted model, not a curated record. The transcript has 2 exons.
UUCUCUUUCUUAUCUCCUCACGCUCACAUACAUCUACAUUCUCUCUCUGCGUUCCUUCUCUCUCUCUCAACUCUGUCGUCCUCUUUCUCUCUCCCUGUCUCCGGUGAGCGUCGCCGGCCUUCGCCGCCUCCGGCGCGGCGAGGUCGGCCUCUCCUCUCCCCCCUUCCUUUCUCUCCAUUUCUCCUUUCCCUAUGUUUCAAUCCCCAAAUUAUAAAAUCAAAAUCCUAGGGUUUCUACCUCUCUUCAUCCCCUCUGGAAUUCGUCUCUCCGGCGAAGCCUGCCGCCCCGCCGUCGUCUCUGUCACACCGCCACCUCUUCUGACUCAGGAAUCGAGGUUUCAAGGGAUUACUCAGAGUGACAGUCGUCUGCUGCUCAAGACUCAAUUUUUUUAUGAGUUAUAAGUCUGUUUCCUUUUUAUUUCUUAUUUAGAAACAACUGUAUUCAUGAGAUUAGAACUGUAUUUGUGAGAUUAGAAUUAGAGAUAUGUAACUAUUGUUCAUCUUGGUUGUCGAUUACUAUUUUAGCAAAGAGAUAAUUGCACUGAAUUAAAGAAAACUACCUUCUCUGCUGUGAACUGCUGGGGGAAUAUUUGUAUUCUGA